GAUGAACGCUGGCGGCGUGCCUAAUACAUGCAAGUCGAGCGAACAGACGAGGAGCUUGCUCCUCUGACGUUAGCGGCGGACGGGUGAGUAACACGUGGAUAACCUACCUAUAAGACUGGGAUAACUUCGGGAAACCGGAGCUAAUACCGGAUAAUAUAUUGAACCGCAUGGUUCAAUAGUGAAAGACGGUUUUGCUGUCACUUAUAGAUGGAUCCGCGCCGCAUUAGCUAGUUGGUAAGGUAACGGCUUACCAAGGCAACGAUGCGUAGCCGACCUGAGAGGGGGUCGGGCCAACUGGGACCGGAGCAAGGGGCCAGAACCUGCGGGGGGGCAGGAGGAGGGAACUUGCCGGAAGGGGGGAAAGCGUGAGGGAGCAACGCGGGGGGGGGGAGGAGGGGCUGCGGAUGUAAAAACGUUGUUAUGAGGGAAAAAAAAAUGGGAAAGAAACGAGGCAGGUUUGGCGGGGACCAAAGCAAAAAGCCCGGGUGACCUCGGG
Molecule: ribosomal RNA, 496 nt
Filed under: uncultured bacterium
Lineage: Bacteria
Description: partial 16S ribosomal RNA
Rfam family: Bacterial small subunit ribosomal RNA (bases 15-380)
Source: RNAcentral